AAUAAGUAAUGUUUUGCACUAUUCAUGUCUAACGUUUGACUAUUUAUCUUAUUUAAAAUUUUUUAAUGGUUAGUAUUUUUAUUUUAUUAGAUGAUAAAAUAUGAAUAGUACUUUAUGUUUAAUUAAUUAAUUUUAUUUUUUCAUAAAUUUUUCAAAUAAGAUGAACGGUCAAACGUUAGACACGAAUAUCUACGGCCGCACUUAUU
MicroRNA precursor from Oryza sativa Indica Group (long-grained rice), 206 nucleotides. It matches the Rfam family "MIR812 microRNA precursor family". The record is from Rfam. NCBI's taxonomy places the organism in Eukaryota, Viridiplantae, Streptophyta, Magnoliopsida, Poales, Poaceae.